GAUGAACGCUGGCGGCGUGCCUAACACAUGCAAGUCGAGCGAGAAGCUCAUGAUCGAAACUUCGGUUGAUUGAUUGAGUGGAAAGCGGCGGACGGGUGAGUAACGCGUAGGCAACCCGCCCCUUGCAGAGGGAUAGCCUCGGGAAACCGGGAUUAAAACCUCAUAAUGCGUUUGAAGACAUCUUCGAGGCGCCAAAGAUUUAUCGGCAAGGGAUGGGCCUGCGUCUGAUUAGGUAGUUGGUGGGGUAACGGCCUACCAAGCCGACGAUCAGUAGCCGACCUGAGAGGGUGACUGGCCACAUUGGGACUGAGACACGGCCCAA
Molecule: ribosomal RNA, 322 nt
Filed under: uncultured bacterium
Lineage: Bacteria
Description: bacterial SSU rRNA
Rfam family: Bacterial small subunit ribosomal RNA
Source: RNAcentral